GCCCGGCCCUCCCCCGCCACUCCCUUCCCUCUGCCCGCCGCACUCACAGCGUGACCCGGGAGACGGCGAUGCGGACGGGCACACUGCGCUCCUUGAAGGCGGUGGUGAUGAAGCAGCCGAAGCCCUAAGGUUCCAGAGCAGGAAAAGGAGCCCAGAUGACUGUCAUGUAUGAAAAGGAGAUCGCUACAGUCAGUCGGCAGUGUCUUCAAGGACUGGAUUUCCUUCACUCAAACCAUGUGGUCCAUCGAGAUUUGAAGAGCCGCAACAUCCUUCUCAGAACGGACGGCUCUGUCAAGCUGGGCUCAGUUCAUGAUAGUGGCAGAAGGGAUGCCAGAGCUGCGCAAGCCCCACCUAGUCUCGCCUUGGCUGCGUGACUUCCUGCGCUGCUGCCUGCAGAGAGACGAGGCGCAGCGCUGGUCUGCCAAGGAGCUCCUGCAGCAUCAGUUUUUAACGUCAGCCAAGCCUGCGUCGAACCUGAUACCUCUCAUGGUUUCAGUGAAGAAGUGGAAGGAGAAGAGAAGAACAUGAAAAAUCACUUGAGAACUGUUUUCUCCAUAACCAGUUUAGAGUAGGAUUGUAGAGUAGCAUUGUAGCUAGCUAGUACUGUAGGGUAGGAUGGUAGCAUAGGACUGUAAACAAAUAAAGUUUCUGAAACCUCAACUCGUCUGGAAGAUUCCUCUCCAUCUGAUCCUGUGAGAAAGCUCAGCAUUUCCUUCUGAAUUGUCAGCUUUUCCUUAGAGGUGCAAAGGGGUCUUUAUGACCUUUUUUUAGUGCUUUGAAAGUGGGGAAGGCUCUUCUUCAGUCAUUCUCUCCAGACCAUACUGCCUUUGGAAUAUGGCCCGCUGGCUGGGUUUUACCCGGCUGUGGCACUUGUAAUUUGAGGCAGAAAGGGCAAUGGCAUUUGCAGGCAGAACCAAAGGAAGCGUGGGGUUUCCCAAACAUCCUGUCCAGAUGCAGGCCUCGAGCUAUGAGUCGAGAGCAUUUGGAUUUGUAUCCCCAAGUGCAGUCGCUUUGGCUGCAGGAGACUUUUGCUCAUCUGAGAGAGUAGAAAGAUCUGGAAGGUCGCCUGUGGUGCCGAGCUGUCAGUGAGUGUGAGGUGAGAGCAGGCCCAGCCUCGCCCAGGGCGGAGCUCCAGCAGAGCCCUGGCAGAGCCCGGAGCAGCCUGAGGCUGGCAGAGGCAGGCUGGAAGGAGGCCGGUGGAGCUGCAAGAGGCAGCAGCCCGGCCUUGGGUGCCUCUUCCUGGGCAUGUCCCCCCUCUUCUUUAGCUCAGCAACGAAAACCUACCAGGAAAAACCCAAACAAUGUCCUAAGACAUUAAGAACAGUGACAACAAUAACAACUAGAGCAACUUUUCAAGAACUGUAACAUAGGCAUUUAACAUUGUGACUAUAUACCCUUGGAACCAGGAAGAUGUGACAAAAGCCUGCACACAGCCUGAGGGAAUUCACUUCACUUGCGUGGCCUCUAGAGACACAGGCAUAACCUCUACCCCACGUCAAUAAGUCUAGUGGUCCUUUCCAUUCUCCAGCCAGUAAGUCCUUUAUUAUCUCAGGAGGUUUGGGAUGAGCCUUUGUGUCAAAGGAAUAUUGCCUUUCACAUGCUGUUUGGCCUGUCUCACAUCAGAAUUUCAAAAGCUGAGGACAUAGAAGGCCUUGGCUAGUCUAUUGUGAGGGCACUCCAAUUGCUCCUUUUUUUUGCUCUUCAAGCCUGGUUUUUCCACUUUUAUGGGUACGCUCUACUCUAGCUUGCCCUUUGGACGAGUGUGGAAUGGCUGUAUGGUGAGACACCCCCACUGCUGUGAGAAGUGAUGGGUUGGCUCUGAGGUGUGGGAAUGUCCAUUGUCAGUUUUGUUGGUAUGUGGAAGGUCUAGAGUGGCAGAACAGGUGAGCCAGUGUCGGAGAGCGUCACGGGUCUUCUCUCCAGUGCGAGCAGCUGCCAUAAGGAAACGGGAAUAGGUCUCAAUGGAAACAUGAAUAUCUUUUAAACAACCAAAUUCUGGGAAACGGCUAGCAUCAGUCUGCCAAAUGGAUUGAUCUGCUAAGCCUUGGGGAUUAGUCCCCUCUGCUAAAGGAGCAGCAGCAAGCCCACAGCAGGAGAGACAAGACAGCAGAAUAUCACGAGCCUGUGAGGAGAUGAAUUGAAAUUGAUUAAAAGGAGAACGAGCAUUGUGGAGGAAAAAGCUGUGAGAUCAUUGGCCUGUGCAGAAGUACCGGGUACCAUACCUGCCAUGGCAGUGAUGUCUGCAUAGUUGUUGAGUUCUGUAAUAGGCCCUGAGUGGGAGCAAACAUAUAAUACAUAAAAAUCAU
Prinia subflava (tawny-flanked prinia) is the source of this 2306-nucleotide long non-coding RNA. RefSeq lists it as uncharacterized. The transcript has 5 exons. NCBI's taxonomy places the organism in Eukaryota, Metazoa, Chordata, Aves, Passeriformes, Cisticolidae. The record is from RefSeq and is a predicted model, not a curated record.